UUACACACCUUCUCUUUCUCAUAACAUUGCCUUUCAUCUCUCUCCCGUAAUUCUCUUCUCCCUCUUUUUCCCUCAACCCUAAAAUUACGCCGCCGACAACAACAAGUUCAACCGUGAAACACCAGCAAAACUGACAUUCGGUUCAACCGUGAAACACCAUUUUUCAAUACCUUUUAUCUCUCUGCUCCCGGUUUUCCCUCUAUCUUUCUUUCUAUCGUCUUCUCUCUUCUUUGUUUCUCUACAAACCCUAGCGCAGCCGCAAACCCUAGCGCAACCACAAACCCUAUUGUCUUAGUUAUCAAUCAAUCUUCCAAACGCUUGCUUUCUUCUCCUUCUCAUACAGCGCAAAUGAUCCAAGGUUUCAGAGGAUGCUUCAUCAUACCCAUUUUCGUAAUCCUCACCUCAAAACAAUUUUCGUAAACCAUUUUUUAUGGGUCAUUGUUGGGUUAGUUUUUACAGAUCUGGAGACUUGGUUAAAGGUUUGUUUAGGCUUGUGAUUGUGUUUCACUGCAUCCUUGGUUCUGGACGUGCCGCCGUCAAUUGUUUUUAUUUUUUCAAUAAUAUUUUGUAAAUAUGUUCAUAAUAAUCAUUUAAUUCAAUUGAUUUUUAAUGACUUUUAGAGUUCUGCAAAUGAGUUUGUUUAGGUUUUUAUGCAGCAAAACACAUUCUUCAAUUAGGGUUUCUUGAUUUGAGAAUUUUCUGCAUGUGAAGGGGAAAACUAAUGUUGGUCAAGUGGAUUUUAACAACUCCCUGAGUGGAUUUUUAUUAGGUAACUCCUUGAUUUUAAGCUUAACUGACCGAAAAUGUGAUUUUUUUGUUUAGUUGGAGCAACAAACCUAGAGUGUGCAAAAGCUCUUAGAGUAAAUGCUGGAGCUGAACCUGGUGCAGAUCUUGGUCCGUAUAUCAGCAAACAGAUGCAUUCACAGGGAAGUAAGCAAGGAUGAAAAUAUAGUUGAUUCUCAUCUCAAGAUUCAACAAGAAAAUGAACACACACAAUAUCGUGACGUAAAUUUGAAAUCAAUCAUCCUGGUAAAAUUUUAAUUAACUGUUGAUUUCACAAUUUUUGACUAAAU
Molecule: long non-coding RNA, 1073 nt
Organism: Vicia villosa (hairy vetch)
Lineage: Eukaryota; Viridiplantae; Streptophyta; Magnoliopsida; Fabales; Fabaceae
Exons: 4
Source: RefSeq, a predicted model, not a curated record